CCUACGGGUGGCAGCAGUAGGGAAUAUUGCUCAAUGGGGGAAACCCUGAAGCAGCAACGCCGCGUGGAGGAUGAAGGUUUUCGGAUCGUAAACUCCUUUUGUUAGAGAAGAUAAUGACGGUAUCUAACGAAUAAGCACCGGCUAACUCCGUGCCAGCAGCCGCGGUAAUACGGAGGGGGCAAGCGUGACUCGGAAGCACUGGGCGUAAAGAGCGCGUAGGCGGGUUAGCAAGUCAGAUGUGAAAUCCUAUGGCUUAACCAUGGAACUGCAUUUGAAACUGUUAUUCUAGAGGGUGGGAGGGGUAGGUGGAAGUCUUGGUGUAGCGGUAAAAUCCGUAGAGAUCAAGAGGAAUACUCAUUGCGAAGGCGACCUGCUAGAACGUAACUGACGCUGAUGCGCGAAAGCGUGGGGAGCAAACAGGAUUAGAUACCCGAGUAGUC
RNAcentral lists this ribosomal RNA (440 nucleotides) under uncultured bacterium. RNAcentral describes it as "partial 16S ribosomal RNA". It matches the Rfam family "Bacterial small subunit ribosomal RNA", at positions 338 to 795 of the family's 1533-position model. The record is from RNAcentral.